This 308-nucleotide ribosomal RNA is filed under the name uncultured eukaryote. RNAcentral's name for it is "partial 18S ribosomal RNA". It matches the Rfam family "Eukaryotic small subunit ribosomal RNA", at positions 1470 to 1796 of the family's 1831-position model. The record is from RNAcentral.
CCCUUAGAUGUUCUGGGCCGCACGCGCGCUACACUGACGAAUGCAACGAGCUUAUAACCUUGGCCGAAAGGUCUGGGUAAUCUCCAAAUUUCGUCGUGAUGGGGAUAGAUUAUUGCAAUUAUUAAUCUUCAACGAGGAAUGCCUAGUAAGCGCAAGUCAUCAGCUUGCGUUGAUUACGCCCCUGCCCUUUGUACACACCGCCCGUCGCUCCUACCGAUUGGAUGGUCCGGUGAACUUUUUGGACUUGUAGCAAUGUUAUGAGAAAGUUAAGUAAACCUUAUCAUUUAGAGGAAGGAAAAGUCGUAACA